GAGGGUAUAGCUCAGUGGUAGAGCACAUGCUUAGCAUGCAUGAGGUGCUGGGUUCAUCCCCACGACCUCCA
RNAcentral lists this transfer RNA (71 nucleotides) under Camelus bactrianus (Bactrian camel). It matches the Rfam family "tRNA". From Rfam's summary of the family: Transfer RNA (tRNA) molecules are approximately 80 nucleotides in length. Their secondary structure includes four short double-helical elements and three loops (D, anti-codon, and T loops). Lineage: Eukaryota; Metazoa; Chordata; Mammalia; Artiodactyla; Camelidae. RNAcentral also lists the same sequence under 2 other names. The record is from Rfam by way of RNAcentral.